CACGUUGGAUAAUGUGUAUAAUUUAGUCUGACGAAAUUUAUGCAGUUGAAACGUGAAUAUCUAAGCAUAGAAAUUUGAUAUAGAUAACCACCGAAUGGCUCAUAAUCCAGCGGCAUGUCGCGCCUAUCGUUCCAAGCUCGAAAGAUAAAUAGAAGCACGGGGACCAGCACCGCCUCGAGGGCAUUACGUCGCUCGUUCUCUUUCACGCGCAGGUUGGUAUACCUCGAAUUUGCAUUGCCCAGACAACGGCAGUGCUGCUGUACCCAACGAAACUUCAAGCCUGCCAACAUUUCUAGCUUCCGUUUCGACAGCGCGUCACUCUCUCGUUGAAAA
Molecule: long non-coding RNA, 333 nt
Organism: Bombus pascuorum
Lineage: Eukaryota; Metazoa; Arthropoda; Insecta; Hymenoptera; Apidae
Exons: 2
Source: RefSeq, a predicted model, not a curated record